RNAcentral lists this ribosomal RNA (659 nucleotides) under uncultured archaeon. RNAcentral describes it as "bacterial SSU rRNA". It matches the Rfam family "Archaeal small subunit ribosomal RNA", at positions 175 to 817 of the family's 1478-position model. The record is from RNAcentral.
AUGAGUCUUCACCUAAAGGGCGUCUAGAUCAUGCUUCUAGGCGUCGCCCAAGGAUGGGGCCGCGACCGAUCAGGUUGUUGGUGAGGUAAUGGCUCACCAAGCCUCUAACCGGUGCGGGCCGUGAGAGCGGGAGCCCGGAGAUGGGCACUGAGACAAAGGCCCAGGCCCUACGGGGCGCAGCAGUCGCGAAAACUUUGCAAUACACGAAAGUGUGACAGGGCUAUCCCGAGUGCCGUCCGCUGAGGAUGGCUUUUACUCAGUCUAGAAAGCUGAGGGAAUAAGGAGAGGGCAAGUCUGGUGUCAGCCGCCGCGGUAAUACCAGCUCUCCGAGUGGUGUGGAUGUUUAUUGGGCCUAAAGCAUCCGUAGCUGGCUGGGCAAGUCCCCUGUUAAAUCCACCGAUUUAAUCGUUGGUGUGUGGGGGAUACUGCUCGGCUAGGGGACGAGAGAGGCCGACGGUAUUUCUGGGGUAGGGGUGAAAUCCUAUAAUCCCAGGAAGACCACCAGUGGCGAAGGCUGUCGGCUAGAACGCGCCCGACGGUGAGGGAUGAAAGCUGGGGGAGCGAACCGGAUUAGAUACCCGGGUAGUCCCAGCUGUAAACGAUGCAGGCUAGGUGUUUGGGCGGCCACGUGCCGCUCUAGUGCCGCAGGGAAGCUGUUA